RNAcentral lists this long non-coding RNA (869 nucleotides) under Marmota monax (woodchuck). Lineage: Eukaryota; Metazoa; Chordata; Mammalia; Rodentia; Sciuridae. The record is from RNAcentral.
CAAUUUCAGAGUGCAUUUUCACAUAUUAGUUUAAUAACUUCUGAGGGAAGGACUAUUUUGUAGGUUUUAUUCCUAUCAGUUCCAAAGUAAAGGGCAACAUGUACCACUAAAUAGAAGGGAAGUAGCAGUGAGACUGGGACUCCAGGGACAGGCAGGCCCUGGUGAACUGGAAACUCUCCAGGGGAGUUCUGAGAACUCAAGAGCAGGAAGAAUCAACUGCCCCUGUAGAAGAGCAGUAGGCAAUCCAGGAAUAUAAGACAGGUAGAACUGAGUGAAAGACUGAGGUUGAAGGAUCUGUACUGAGCUUGCAUAAACUGUUCAAAGAAAACGUUUUGCUAAGUAUUCAUAAAAAAUUUAAAGGACAGUCAAGAUCAACAGAUAUGUAUAACCUUGUUCAAACUGACAACGAAGUAAAUUCUGUGCCCUCCCUAUUAGUUUUUUCUCACCAGUAUGUAUUUUAAUUUUACAAGAAACUCUGAUCAUUUGCAUAUAUGAGAUGAGACUAUGUUUCCCCAAUUUUCUCCAGGAAAGAUUAAAUCCCUGUGCAAUUUAUUUGCUUUUCAGGAAGCUAUUUAGUUUUAACUUAGCCUUGGAGAAGUAUAGAGUUUUCCACUGCAGUCUGAUUUGCUAAUUAAUAAUAAGGUCAUACAAUUUCAUAGUACAUUUUACAUAUUAGUUUAAAACUAACAACCUUCUGAGGGACAGACUAUUUAUUCAUACCUUUAUAUUAUUAAUGAUUUUAAAUAUGAAGUAAAGCAUAACUAGAAGAGUAAUUAGAGACCAUGUUAAGAUUAACAUCAUCUCAUAUUCAGAGAAUUUACCCAGCUUAUCUAAUAUUACACAAUAAACACAGGCAGACCUAAAAGUUA